Molecule: ribosomal RNA, 536 nt
Filed under: uncultured bacterium
Lineage: Bacteria
Description: partial 16S ribosomal RNA
Rfam family: Bacterial small subunit ribosomal RNA
Source: RNAcentral
UGGGGAAUAUUGCACAAUGGGCGAAAGCCUGAUGCAGCAACGCCGCGUGCGGGAUGACGGCCUUCGGGUUGUAAACCGCUUUCAGCAGGGACGAAGGUUUUCUGACGGUACCUGCAGAAGAAGCACCGGCUAACUACGUGCCAGCAGCCGCGGUGAUACGUAGGGUGCGAGCGUUGUCCGGAAUUAUUGGGCGUAAAGAGCUUGUAGGCGGUCCGUUGCGUCGGAAGUGAAAACUCAGGGCUUAACCCUGAGCCUGCUUUCGAUACGGGCGGACUUGAGGGAUGUAGGGGAGAACGGAAUUCCUGGUGGAGCGGUGGAAUGCGCAGAUAUCAGGAGGAACACCAGUGGCGAAGGCGGUUCUCUGGACAUUUCCUGACGCUGAGAAGCGAAAGCGUGGGGAGCAAACAGGCUUAGAUACCCUGGUAGUCCACGCCGUAAACGGUGGGCACUAGGUGUGGGACCCAUUCCACGGGUUCCGUGCCGUAGCUAACGCAUUAAGUGCCCCGCCUGGGGUAGUACGGCCGCAAGGCUAAAAC